Molecule: long non-coding RNA, 1187 nt
Organism: Saccostrea echinata
Lineage: Eukaryota; Metazoa; Mollusca; Bivalvia; Ostreida; Ostreidae
Exons: 4
Source: RefSeq, a predicted model, not a curated record
UUCAUGAAUUGCUUGGAAUGGCUUUAAACUGCAUGUAUCACAUUUGACCUUUCAUGUAUUUACAUGUAAUUACAUGUAAUAUUGUAUAACAUGUACCCCACCCUUGCUGGAUCCAUUUUUUAAAUAUUCAGCUGUCGAGCAGUUGUGUAAAUUGUUAAUUUUUUAGAAAACUUGAAAAAUAUUGCUGUUUCACUAAUGCUUUAUGCUUAAUUUGACUAACUUUUCUGAUUCAUUUUCAUUUAAGCACUGUAGAGGAUUUUCAUCUUUCAGCUUCCUCGGCCCCGGGAGAGGUUGGUACUUGAUCCGCAUGAGCAUUUUCUCUAUAUAAGAAGAAGACGGAGACUCGCUAUCCACCUGAUGUAUUUUGUUGGACAGUUUUCUGUACUUUGCAGUCACAACUAUAUCCAGGUCUGAUCACAGGAAUGAAAUUUACUCAUUCCCUGGAACACUACUUGCAGCAGGGAGGUGUCAUUAAUUAAGAUGGUCACAGUUUCCAAGACACUGAAGUGACAGGCCUCAAAUUUCACACAUGAACAUUGCACUGUAGAGGAUUUUCAUCUUUCAGCUUCCUCGGCCCCGGGAGAGGUUGGUACUUGAUCCGCAUGAGCAUUUUCUCUAUAUAAGAAGAAGACGGAGACUCGCUAUCCACCUGAUGUAUUUUGUUGGACAGUUUUCUGUACUUUGCAGUCACAACUAUAUCCAGGUCUGAUCACAGGAAUGAAAUUUACUCAUUCCCUGGAACACUACUUGCAGCAGGGAGGUGUCAUUAAUUAAGAUGGUCACAGUUUCCAAGACACUGAAGUGACAGGCCUCAAAUUUCACACAUGAACAUUGGUAGGUAUAAGGUCUUUGAAAAUAACAAAAUUGACUACUUCUGGGAUAGGUCAAUAUGUAAGUAUAGGAAUGAGAGUACCAAAUCCCCGGAUGUACACGUGGUUUUGUUUGUUACACAAAGUAGUAUAGAGUACUGAAUAGUGUGUGUUACCCGAUUGGCUGAAUUCAGGUAUAUAAUUAUUUUCAUUUUAAAGUAAAAAUAUUAAUGUUUGAAAUAAAUGAUGGAAUGUAGGAAUAUUACAGAAAAUAUAGAAGUACCAGGGGAGAUUGUAGGAGUGGGGGUUGAUAUUUUUGGCAUAGUGUCAUUUACUGCCGAUCGCUAUAAGUUGUAAACAACAGCAAUUUUGACCUAU